Long non-coding RNA from Helianthus annuus (common sunflower), 2623 nucleotides. RefSeq lists it as uncharacterized. NCBI's taxonomy places the organism in Eukaryota, Viridiplantae, Streptophyta, Magnoliopsida, Asterales, Asteraceae. The record is from RefSeq and is a predicted model, not a curated record. The transcript is spliced from 4 exons.
UAACUGCAGACAAAUUGGCUUUCUCCCUCCUCUCUCUUCCUGCAAGUCAAUGGAACCGUCCAAAAUAAGCAGUGAGACAACAGUCUUCUUUCCCUUUCAUUGCCUUCUUCUUCUUCUCUCCUUCUCUGUAUCAUACAGAUCAAUUCCAUUUCGAGUUUGGAUUCGUAAGCACGGUCUACUUCUCUUUCAAAAUUCAAAUCCCAGAUCUAAAAAUCUCAUUUCAAAUUUCAAAUCCCUCUUCCUCUCUUUCUCUCUUUCUCUCUUUCUCUCUCUCAAAGAUUCCGAAAUUCCUUAAACUCUUAAACCCUAAUUUUCUUUUGUUUCACUGAAAUUGAAAUUUUGUUUGGUUUUCUGUUUGUAUUUGGGUUCUAGGGUUUCCGUCGGUAUUCAACUUCAAUUUACGAUUCUAUUGUUUCUUGUAAUCCACGAGAAGGCUGUGAAUCUGUUGUUUGAGAAGAGGCCGGAGCAGUUUGGAAUCGGCGUUUGAUUGUUGUUUCGAAUCGAAGGAAGAUGUAGGUAUAUUCAUGGAAAUCCCGCAUAUCGGUGGCCAUCUCUAUCCCUCUCGUCCGUCACGCACCGUCGGCAAAGUUUCAGGUAAGGUUUCUUUGUUAUUCGUAUAAUGUUCAACUUAAGAGUUAGGCCGGUUGGAGCUGGAGAAUCAGAAGGAGAUUCCUCAUUACACACUUCAUCAGAUUCAGCCUCGUGUGGAAUCCUUUGAGGAACAGGUGAUAUCGGAGUCGAAGAUAUUGGAUGUGUUGCCGAAUUUCCGAUGGUUGUUUGCAGGAAAGUUUGAAAAGAGGUAUGCGGCUGUGCAAAAGAGGCGUGAUGAUUUUAUGCAGGUUUGAAUUGAUGAGUUUAGAGCGGGUGGUUUCUGGGUGGUGAAGAGAAGAAAAAGAAGACAUUGCUUGAGAUUUUAUUGUCUCUACAAGAUGCUGAUCCGGAGUAUUAUACAGACGAAAUGAUCAAAAGCCUUUCACAGGCUCUAUUACUUGGAGGAAUCAAUACAUCGGUCGAGACGAUGGAGUGGGCGAUGACGCUUUUACUUAACAACCCGAACGUUUUACACAAGGCGCAAACUGAAAUCGACAUCUUCGUAGGAUGCGAUUGAUUAGUGAACGACGCCGAUCUAUCGAAGCUUCCAUACUUGCAGUGUAUCAUCAAGGAGACGUUAAGAAUGCACCCAACCGCGCCUUUACGUCUUCCUCAUGAGUCAUCCAAAGAUUGUGUGGUUAGUGGUUACAAUAUCCCACAUGGUACAAUGUUGUUCGUGAAUGUGUGUGGGCUAUACAAAAUGAUCCAAACACUAUACAAGGAGAUUUUUAAAGAAAUUUGAAUUAUAUUUUGUAAAUUUAAACUAUCCUAUAUAUUUUUAACUAUAUUUUUUAAAUAUAGAAUAAAAUUUUAUCUUCUUUUUAUUUCCAAACAAAAUUAAACUACCCUCAUUUGUUAAACCGCGUGUACACGCGGGUUAUAACCUAGUAUCUUUAUAAACAUGUAAGAAAGAAAUCACAUUCACAAUGACAUGUGGCAAAAGUGUCCAAUAUUCAGUUUUGUUCGUAAAUGCAUAUUCUACAAUCACUUUCACCCAUGUGCCAUGUACCAUCAGAAUGUAAUCACUUUAUUGAUAUUUUUAGGUGAUAAGCAACAUAAACUAGCAUACAAUAAUCAGAAUGCAAUCACUUUAUUGAUAUUUAUAGGUGAUAAGCAACAAAAACUAGCAUACGAUAAACAUAUUUGUGUAUAAGUUCAUAUUUAGAGUUAAUUACAGCGUUAGUCCCUAUAGUUUGUAGAAAGUAACAACCUAAGAUACUAAUAGUUUAAAAUAACAUCCUAAGGUAUUAACCUUCUAAUUUGUAACAAAUUAGGGUACUAACACCUAACCCGGUUUAAUUUUAACAGAGUUCAAGAUUAAUUAAGUCCUUUUGCAUUCUUCAUUUAUCAAAACUAAUAAAAAAAACCCUUAGAUGUAUGAACCCUUACUUAUUCUCUUUACGUAGGAAGUUACAUAAUAAUGUCAACAUGUGACAUGAAUAUUGUGAUUUUUUUUUUUACAAAGCAAUGGUAGGUAGUCGGGCAACAAGUUGCGCCGCCACCCCUUUUGAAUAGAUUCUUUUACUAAAUUAAGUUUAAUUGUGAUAUUAAAUUAAGUUUUUUAUGUUAAAAAAAAACAUAUUUUGAGUCUUUUUGACUAAUGGAUUCUUUUACUCACAUUUACCAAAAAUGUAACUUUUGGCUAUUUUGUUGAUUAGUUUAUGAAAUAAUCAAAACUUGUAAGGUAAUACGUAGUGGGGCGGUAUGUCCAAGCAUGGCGCCGGCAAAACGCCGGGCACACCAAUACGCGAGGCGCUAUGAAUCGAAAAUGAGGGGUUGGCGCGAUGUUUAUAGCGGCGUGAUGUGUGGGUUUGUUUGAUUUUUUUUUUCCUUUUUCUGCUUUGUUUUUGUGUUUGUGUUGCAGGUAUCCAUCGAAGAAGAAGAAGAAGAAGGAAGACAAGGAAGAGGAAGAAUUUUAGGGUUUUUAAUUUAUGGGCUUUGGGCUAGUUUGUGUUUUGUUUUAUAUGGGCUUUGGACUGAUUUUGUGUUUUGAGUUAAUUAGUGUAAGGUUUUUUUUAUUUUUUUAGUCCAA